Molecule: non-coding RNA, 132 nt
Filed under: uncultured eukaryote
Lineage: Eukaryota
Source: RNAcentral
CAGGGCGGCGGGCCGGGCUAAAGUCGUCGCCUCUGCCUCCGCAGCCGGGGGUGUCAGUUCAGGCAGCGGCACAAAAACGCUUUGGGCGGCGAAGAGGGCGGGGAGGGCGGCGGCGGAGGCGGCCGCGGUUGC